RNAcentral lists this small nucleolar RNA (131 nucleotides) under Sinocyclocheilus anshuiensis. RNAcentral's name for it is "Small nucleolar RNA SNORA75 (ENSSANG00000024166.1)". The record is from RNAcentral. Lineage: Eukaryota; Metazoa; Chordata; Actinopteri; Cypriniformes; Cyprinidae.
UGCUUCUCAUGAGUUCCUCUCUGUCAAUCCAGUGGCGGUGUAUGGAUUCCCACGAGAAGUAGAGCGAAAUUCACAGUUAAACAGGUGUUUCCACUAUAUUGGGACACACCCAUGUCUGAUGCUAGACAUUC